GAUGAACGCUGGCUACAGGCUUAACACAUGCAAGUCGAGGGGAAACGACGGGGAAGCUUGCUUCCCCGGGCGUCGACCGGCGCACGGGUGAGUAACGCGUAUCCAACCUGCCUCUGACUGAGGGAUAACCCGUCGACAGUCGGCCUAAUACCUCAUGGCAUCGUCUGCGGGCAUCCAACGACGAUUAAAGAUUUCAUCGGUCCGGGAUGGGGAUGCGUCUGAUUAGCUUGUUGGCGGGGUAACGGCCCACCAAGGCUACGAUCAGUAGGGGUUCUGAGAGGAAGGUCCCCCACAUUGGAACUGAGACACGGUCCAAACUCCUACGGGAGGCAGCAGUGAGGAAGAUUAGUCAAUGGGCGGGAGCCUGAACCAGCCAAGUAGCGUGCAGGAGGACGGCCCUAUGGGUUGUAAACUGCUUUUAUGCGGGGAUAAAGUGAGGGACGUGUCCUUCAUUGCAGGUACCGCAUGAAUAAGGACCGGCUAAUUCCGUG
Molecule: ribosomal RNA, 491 nt
Filed under: uncultured bacterium
Lineage: Bacteria
Description: partial 16S ribosomal RNA
Rfam family: Bacterial small subunit ribosomal RNA
Source: RNAcentral